RNAcentral lists this long non-coding RNA (1451 nucleotides) under Falco tinnunculus (common kestrel). RNAcentral describes it as "lncRNA (ENSFTIG00000014022.1)". Lineage: Eukaryota; Metazoa; Chordata; Aves; Falconiformes; Falconidae. The record is from RNAcentral.
AUGGUGGGUGCUGCCGCUGCUGACACUGCUGCUGGGAUUGGCUGCUUGUUGCUGCUGCAGGCUAUGACACUGAUGGUACUGGGGGUACUGGUGGGGCUCUCUGGACGAGCCGGCAUGGCUAGAGGGGGUGAGCUCGCUGAUAUUCAACUGGCUACUCUGCCGGGAGGAGGCGGAGAUGGAGAGCGGCGAGAACCGAGUCCUGAAGGCGCCCGAGAGGGGCGAAGAAAUGCGGAGCAGCGAGGGCAGGUUAUCCCCCGCUGCUACCGCAGCGGCUCCAUAGUAGGAGCAGUUGUUGCACUGGAGGCAUGGGUUCUGCUGCUGCUGCUGCUGGAGAAGACUCUGCUUGUCCUGGCCGUGUCGCUGCUGCUGCUCGGAGCAGAAGCCCGUCUGAAACUGCAAUGGUGUUUGCAUGUCAGAGACGUUAAAGCCGCAGGAGGACCAGGUGGUGGUGGUGAUGGUGGUGCACCCUGCGCAAUGCGUUACGGUCGGCAGGGAAGAGUCCUGCUGCCGCCACGAAGGGCCCAUCCCGGCUUCCGUAGAAUCCAGCCGCUGAGUCCGAUUGGUCGGGCGGACCAAAACAAGGAGCAUCUCGUCGGGGGAGACCGGCUGCGGCGUGAGGCGGCGGAGAGAUCCCCCAUCCGCCCUGCCCCCUCCCGCGCGGGGAUCCCGUCUCUCACCGCUCCCGCAGUCCAUGCCUCAGUUGCCACAAGCAGUGACCCUGACGUGAUGGUCAAUAAGCCGCGGACAAUAGAGCGGUUGGUGACGACGCCCAGCUGAACUCAAGAAAGCAACGGUACAGAGAGCUGUUAGGUCCAGACCUCAUCACCUCUACAGGUGAGCAGCUGGGGACGAUAUGGGUUCCAUAUUGAUAUCCAGUAUAAUAAUGGAAAUACUAGAAAGGAGAGGGGUAAAGUAUGAGGAAGCAGCCGUGAAACUUUUGCUUGCCUGGCUGCGGCGGAUGCCANUAUUUUUCUGUGUUAAAAUGCUGUUAUUGAAAAUGGUCAACCAAGCCUGUGUCGCCCAAAAUAAAAACAGGAGAAUUGUGGAUAACUGGCUAGCUGAAAAAGUUCACAUAGACAUAGUCCAGCUGGCUGGACAAAAAUGCACAUCGCUCUCAGCUUAUCUGAAGUAAAGCAAAAAUACACUAUCCUUGGCUGUUCUUGUUACACAAUAUCAGGAAGAUUGCGGUGGGAAAAGAAUGUUGCAGGUGGGAACAGGUAACUACAGAAGAGAAACUAGGGGCGGACUUGAUAUUUAGGCAACUAACCAAUAAUGAGCUUAACUUUUGUAAUAUGUAUGAGCUAAUUAUAACAAGGCAUAAAAGAUGACUGUAAGGCACAAUAAAUGAAGUCUGCUGAUCACUCAUAUUGAGUGACUGCGUCUUCCCUCCGUUGCGACAGAUAUCUGCUCCACUGUUAAUCUCCAUGGGCUGCAGGGGGGCAGCCUGUCUU